Molecule: RNase P RNA, 388 nt
Filed under: Actinomycetes bacterium
Lineage: Bacteria; Bacillati; Actinomycetota; Actinomycetes
Description: RNase P RNA component class A
Rfam family: Bacterial RNase P class A
About the family: Ribonuclease P (RNase P) is a ubiquitous endoribonuclease, found in archaea, bacteria and eukarya as well as chloroplasts and mitochondria. Its best characterised activity is the generation of mature 5'-ends of tRNAs by cleaving the 5'-leader elements of precursor-tRNAs. Cellular RNase Ps are ribonucleoproteins.
Source: RNAcentral
UGAGUCGGUCGGGUGACCGCGGCCUCGCUGUACGAGGAAACUCGAAUAGACGAUGUCGAGGAAGGUCGGGGCUCCACAGGUCAGAGUGCUGGCUAACGGCCAGUCGGGGCGACCCGCAGGAAAGUGCCACAGAGAACAAACCGCCGAUGGGCCGAGCAAUCGGCCACAGGUAAGGGUGAAACGGUGCGGUAAGAGCGCACCAGCACCCAGGGUGACCUGGGUGGCUCGGCAAACCCCACUCGGAGCAAGGUCAAGACGGGGAGACGGGUGAACCGCCUCCGACCCUCGGGUCGGUAUCUCCGGGUAGACCGCACAGAUGGAUGGUCACCGAACGGGACCCUGGUAACAGACCCGGGAACAGAACCCCGCCUACAGACCGUCUCACCCA